RNAcentral lists this long non-coding RNA (705 nucleotides) under Malus domestica (apple). RNAcentral describes it as "long non-coding RNA (MDOM_LNC000933)". The record is from RNAcentral. Lineage: Eukaryota; Viridiplantae; Streptophyta; Magnoliopsida; Rosales; Rosaceae.
GGUAACGAUAUAACAAUACACUGUGCUUUCACUGUACGGGUUUGGACACAUUACCGUGGUAAAGUAGCUUUUGCAAGUCUGUCCCUAAAUAAACAGUCCCAAAGAGGAGUUUUUUUUUGUUUUUUUUUUUGUUACCCUUUAGGAUUACAACAUUUAAUAGGUAAUCUACUCCUAAUAGGAAUAUAAGAUACAUUCUCAUAUUUACUAGGAUUUACACAAUCACAUUCUUAUUCUAAUAGGACUACAACACUCCCCCUUGAGUGUGUAAAUACUCAAGUAAAUGGCGCAUCAGGUUUUCAGUGAUGAAGCAAGUAUAGUUGAUGAAGUUGUUGACACAAUGAGCAAAUGCGAGUCCCAAAUCAACUGAAUAAUGCAUAAAAAGGUAAAACACACAAAACCUCGCUAUGGUAAAACCCAAGGUGGGGGAAAACCCAUAGUCUAAGAAGAAACGUGAGAAGUUGCAUUAAGUCAAAAUUAUACGUCUUUUGGACGCAAGUAGAAGAGCUCGCAAGGGUAUGAUCAGCUCAGGAUGGGUGCCUCGUUAAAACCUAGUUAGGUAGCAAAAACCUAGUGGGAAAAAUGCUCCUAAUCGUAGGAAAAAGAGUACAUUAAGAUCAAGUGAGUAUACCUCUGGAUACUCCCCCUAAGUUUAACAUAACUUCCAAAUGAGAACUACAAGCAUUGCAUAGGAUAGUUAGGCAUACC